Mastomys coucha (southern multimammate mouse) is the source of this 1122-nucleotide long non-coding RNA. RefSeq lists it as uncharacterized. NCBI's taxonomy places the organism in Eukaryota, Metazoa, Chordata, Mammalia, Rodentia, Muridae. The transcript has 3 exons. The record is from RefSeq and is a predicted model, not a curated record.
GCACAGUUGCAGACUUCACAGAGGAAGUGUGACACACACUGGUUAAGAAACCCUGGACUAAAUACAGCUAUGGUCUGAAACUACAGGCUAAAGAAUCUUUGCUAAUAUAUUGAAAAAAAAUGUGUACAUGUUACCAAAAUAUAUGAACUAUCUGUCCUUUUGCUUUCUCUUGCUUAGCAUCUCUGAAGCACUGAAUACCUAUUAGUCACAGGGAAACAUCUGUAAGAUGUAGCAAGCGGUGUCACCUUCCCUGUGUGGAUCACAAGGUUCUUGGCAAUCGCUUUCGUACCAGACCACCCUAGAUCCUGAACAAGAUCUUCCUAUUUCAUUAGAAGUUUGGGGUCUUUAACUUCCUAUGAAAAAAAUCUGGCUGCCGUGCCUGCAUAAUAAGCUUGGAGAGUCACUCCAACCUCAGAGUCCUUCCCUGCAAGAAAAGCAUUCCAAAUAGAAAGAAGACUGUUGUACGGUAGUGCACCGUUUCAAAUGCACACCAGCAUCGGGAGGAGUAAGAAUUCUCGGACCUUGCGGAACAAUUGGCAACAGUUGGCACCGGUUCUAAAGGCCUAGUGUGAUUGUCUUAAAAAUCAGCUCAAAGGUGUCCCUGUCCCUCGACCAGUCUGGAUGAUCUCAUUGACCAGCCACACUGAAUAAUGUAACAACCGCCAUUGGCUUUCAAGGUAGCGUUGCCACGAUCAUCAGUACAGUUGGAAAAAUCCGAACAGGAUGCUAGAGGGCUGAAUGCCCAGGACAACAUCGCGGUUCUCUGUUACUAUCAAACAUGCCUCCAGCUUUUAGAAUCCUUUAUGAGAAAGGCGAUUGCACAAAGACCAAAGAUUGGCUUUCUUUAACACUGCAAAUCAAAACCGAGUUAAGCUCUCUCUCUCUCCAGGGAUACCCAAUAUUUUACGAUUCCACUAAGUCCACAAAGUCAUGCGAUGAUUUGACACAUCAUUUGCAAGGCGUGUUUUUGUUUUAUUUACUCAUUCUUCCUGUGUCUCAUUUUAAAAUGUCAUUUCCCAAAUGGGGGACGGGUUAUUAAAUAACUUAAACUUAAGCAAAAACCAAAUCAACCAAACCAAACCAAACCAAACCAAACCAAACCAAAAACAAACGAAAAACCCA